RNAcentral lists this non-coding RNA (23 nucleotides) under Cricetulus griseus (Chinese hamster). The record is from RNAcentral. Lineage: Eukaryota; Metazoa; Chordata; Mammalia; Rodentia; Cricetidae.
GAGUACCAGGAAGUGUCCACUGA